UCCCAGAGUUUUGCAUGAACACAUAAUCAUCAAUAUAUUUUUUACUUCAGUGAAGUGGCUCAGUCCUGUCUGACUCUUUGCAACCCCGUGGACCGUAGCCUACCAGGCUUCUCCGUCCAUGGGAUUCUCCAGGCAAGAGUACUGGAGUGGGUUACCAUUUCCUUCUGCAGGAGAUCUUCCCGACCCAGGGAUUGAGCCCGGGUCUCCCGCAUUGGAGGCAGACGCUUCUAACCUCUGAGCCACCAGGGAAGCCCACAUUUUAUCUUAGUAUUGUUUAAAAAAUUGCAACAUUUUUGUAUGUCACCAGAUUGUUAAGCAAAUUAUUUAGAAUAAAUGCUAAAUGCCUUGGGUACUUACAUAAAUGAAAAGAAACAAUUACUUUAGAUUUUGUUUUAUUUUGAUAUACAAUGUAGAUUCUGUUUUCAAUAAAAAUAUGAAAUAAAAAUCAAGAUAUUCUAUAGUGCAAAAUGUUUGCUUUAAAUUGAGUGUACAUUUUUCCCCUUUAAAAUAUAUUUGCAAAAAAAAUGUCAUGUAAGAUUUAUACACCUCAAUUAUAUUUGUAAUGAAUUAAUUAUUCAGGUAAAUAAAAUGUAUUUUACACUCACAUUAACAAAUACUGGAAUCCAAUGGAAAUUUAGAGUAUAUCUAAAUACACGGACAUAAUAAAUAAAACAAGAGAAUGAGUGAACAUAAUGAAGCAGCAGAAAAUGUAUUAUCUCAACAAGAAAUGUUGAAUUUUGUCUUUUGAAACCUGUUCCAAAGUGGUAAGCUUUUUGUAUUCAUCAGGAGUGUGUGUUUUCACAUUUUCAUGUCAUUCAGCAGUCUUUGACAAGUUCUUUGUGGCUAAGGAAAUUUAAAACUGCUUUGAAAUUCUCUGAGCAACUCACAGAUCCCAUCAAAAUAUACUGCCAUAGUAUCAAGAAAUGUUGAAGAAUUAUACCUUCAAAGCUGUGCCAAGAAACCUAGCCAGCAUCUUUCUCUCUUUCAUUAUCAAGCAGAGUUCUAUACCGCCUGCCUUUGGGCUAGGCAAUCCCAUAGAUAUUUCCCAUACAAUUGCAUACUGCCAAAGUUUUUAGACCAGAAAACACUUUUCUCACUCUGGGGAAGAAACAUGGUGUAAGCAGAAAAAGUAGUAUGCAAAAGCAAAACUGUCUCUGCCAUUAACCAACAAAUGAUGAAACUCUCCGGCAUUUGGUCUUUAUAUCCAGAAAAUAAUGGGAGUGUAUUGUAGCAUCUCUGGUGUCUCAUAGAGCACUCAAAGUAUGAGUCUUCCUUUCCAGUCAGUGAAAUGUCCAGUUCUCACAUAUGACCAGAAUUUGACUAUAUUACACAAAUCUCAUACAACCGUUCUUUGAGCUAAACAGUCUGUUAAAAGGAGCAAAUUUUGGGGUGGCUGAGAAGUCUGGAAGGGAAGAAGGGAGGGUUCAUAGGAAGCUGCUUCCGGACAUCUUGAAUUGUCCAGGUUCCUCAA
Molecule: long non-coding RNA, 1471 nt
Organism: Bos taurus (domestic cattle)
Lineage: Eukaryota; Metazoa; Chordata; Mammalia; Artiodactyla; Bovidae
Source: Ensembl